RNAcentral lists this long non-coding RNA (1067 nucleotides) under Numida meleagris (helmeted guineafowl). RNAcentral's name for it is "lncRNA (ENSNMEG00000003358.1)". The record is from RNAcentral. Lineage: Eukaryota; Metazoa; Chordata; Aves; Galliformes; Numididae.
CUUUUGUUCAUGGGAUGGAGUGACCAGUUGUGAGGUCAGACAGCAGGGCUGUGGCUGAGCCACGGCAGCACCCUUAGUCCUGCCCGGUGACGUGGGCAUUGCCUGCAGACAGGGCAGGGGUCAAAACCAGGCAGUGUGCUGCUUCUUUCCCCUCAGCCACUCCAUUUGAGGGAUGACUACUUCACCAGCUUGAGGUCAGGGAGGCAACAGUGGAUUUUGACAGCCCCAAAUGAGAGCCCAUGGAGAUGAGUCAAUGCAACCAUCAGAGCCUAGAAAGAGAUCCAGCCCUAAGGCACACAUCCACCUUGGUCAGCUGUCUGGAUGCCAGCAAGCAUUCAAAUUAUGACAAUAUGAGAGUUUUUCAAGGGUCCCUCAGCCUUGCUCCCUGUUCACCUUCUGUCUUCCACAAAUGCCAAAGAGCCCUUUCGAAAGCAGACGCCUUCACUGAAUCAUCCUUCUGACAGCUCCACCCUACACAAGGAAGAAGGAAACCAUCAGGGCAGAGGCCAGGAUGAAGAGAGCAUAUCAUCAUCUAAUUAAAAAUUCCAUCAUGAAGCAUCAUGAAGAAAAUGCAUGGCAUUUUCUAACUUUUUGCCCCAGUACUCACCCAAAGCAAUUUCCGUGUGCAAAAGGCCAACACACAUGGCUGUUGUCAUAUGACUAAUUUUAAUUUAACCUCAUGCUAUUAAUUCUAAGAGCUCAAGAUAAAUUGACUGCGGUUCAUUGUCCCUCCUUGCUCCUUUCAGUAGUAACCCAGAGUGACACAGCUGAUAGACAUGUGAGAUGUCACCAGAGAUGAAAGUAUUGUAUGAUAGGUUGGAUAUGAGGAAAAAUUUCUUCUGAGAAAGCGUGGUGAAGCAUUGGCACAGGCUGCCCAGGGAGGUGGUGGAGUCACCGUCCCUGGAGGUGUUCAAGAACAGGGUAGAUGUGUCACUGAGGGACAUGGUCAGUGGGCACAGUGGAGGUGGGUUGAUGGUUGGGCUAGGUGAUCGUAGUGAUGAUUCUAUGAUUCUACGAAAAGGACUGGCAGCUUUUGAAAAUAUAGAAAUGAAAUAGAAUAUAGAUAG